This 467-nucleotide ribosomal RNA is filed under the name uncultured bacterium. RNAcentral's name for it is "partial 16S ribosomal RNA". It matches the Rfam family "Bacterial small subunit ribosomal RNA", at positions 28 to 507 of the family's 1533-position model. The record is from RNAcentral.
GAUGAACGCUGGCGGCGUGCUUAACACAUGCAAGUCGAACGGAAAGGCCCAAGCUUGCUUGGGUACUCGAGUGGCGAACGGGUGAGUAACACGUGGGUGAUCUGCCCUGCACUUCGGGAUAAGCCUGGGAAACUGGGUCUAAUACCGGAUAGGACCACUUCUUGGAUGUUGUGGUGGAAAGUUUUUUCGGUGUGGGAUGAGCUCGCGGCCUAUCAGCUUGUUGGUGGGGUAAUGGCCUACCAAGGCGUCGACGGGUAGCCGGCCGGAGAGGGUGUACGGCGACAUUGGGACUGGGACACGCCCCAGCCGUCGACGGGGAGCAGCGGUGGUGAUUAUUACAAAAUGAGCGCAAGCCUGAUGGAGCGACGCUGCGUGGGGGAUGACGGGCUUCGUGUUGUAUACUCCUUUGGCGAGGGACGAAGCGGUUUGUGACGGUACCUUGAGAAGAGGCGCGGGCUAACUACGUG